RNAcentral lists this small RNA (78 nucleotides) under Flavobacterium limicola. Its description in RNAcentral is "Flavo-1 RNA". It matches the Rfam family "Flavo-1 RNA". The record is from RNAcentral. Lineage: Bacteria; Pseudomonadati; Bacteroidota; Flavobacteriia; Flavobacteriales; Flavobacteriaceae.
CCAUAGCCCAGAUAGAAGCGGCAUCCUUUUUCUGGCUUCUUUAGCCAGGAAAAGAUAUAGCGGAUAGCUGGAAAUAGC